Molecule: small nucleolar RNA, 269 nt
Filed under: Saccharomyces mikatae IFO 1815
Lineage: Eukaryota; Fungi; Ascomycota; Saccharomycetes; Saccharomycetales; Saccharomycetaceae
Description: Small nucleolar RNA snR191
Rfam family: Small nucleolar RNA snR191
Source: Rfam by way of RNAcentral
UACCAAACCUUUUUGUCAGGGUGCUUCUCUGUCCUUUCUAGGACAACUUUAUCCACAGAAGUGUCUGUUACUGUUUUGGUAGAGUAAUACUGUUCGCUUAUCCUUAUUUCCUCGUUCUGAGGAAGCCUGAUGGAUAACUGAGAAGGAUAACCUUUGUUUUAAAGGUAUACCUCCUCUUUUUAGAACAGUGAGGAUCUUAUGAGUUGAGCUUUUGUUACCUUUUUCUUGGGUAUCCGUACAAUAUGUUCGUAGUAAAGAUCCUCACAACU